UUUCGAAUCAUUCACAAUGGACGAAAGUCUGAUGGUGCAACGCCGCGUGAGGGAUGAAGGUCUUCGGAUUGUAAACCUCUGUCAUUAGGGACCAAAGGUAAGGUUCAUAGCCUUAUUUGAGAUAACCUAAAGAGGAAGUAGUGGCAAACUCUGUGCCAGCAGCCGCGGUAAUACAGAGACUACGAACGUUACUCGGAUUCACUGGGCGUAAAGGGUGCGCAGGCGGUUAGGUGUGUUAGAUGUGAAAUACCGGAGCUUAACUCCGGGGCUGCGUCUAAAACUACCUAGCUAGAGUUUUGGAGGGGGAAGCGGAAUUCCAGGAGUAGCAGUGAAAUGCGUAGAUAUCUGGAGGAACACCAAUGGCGAAGGCAGCUUACUGGACAAAAACUGACGCUCAUGCACGAAAGCGUGGGGAGCAAAAA
RNAcentral lists this ribosomal RNA (422 nucleotides) under uncultured prokaryote. RNAcentral describes it as "bacterial SSU rRNA". It matches the Rfam family "Bacterial small subunit ribosomal RNA", at positions 355 to 774 of the family's 1533-position model. The record is from RNAcentral.